CCUACGGGAGGCAGCAGUGAGGAAUAUUGGUCAAUGGACGAGAGUCUGAACCAGCCAAGUAGCGUGAAGGAUGACUGCCCUAUGGGUUGUAAACUUCUUUUAUAUGGGAAUAAAACGUUCCACGUGUGGGAUUUUGUAUGUACCAUAUGAAUAAGGAUCGGCUAACUCCGUGCCAGCAGCCGCGGUAAUACGGAGGAUCCGAGCGUUAUCCGGAUUUAUUGGGUUUAAAGGGAGCGUAGGUGGAUUGUUAAGUCAGUUGUGAAAGUUUGCGGCUCAACCGUAAAAUUGCAGUUGAAACUGGCAGUCUUGAGUACAGUAGAGGUGGGCGGAAUUCGUGGUGUAGCGGUGAAAUGCUUAGAUAUCACGAAGAACUCCGAUUGCGAAGGCAGUUCACUGGACUGCAACUGACACCGAGGCUCGAAAGUGUGGGUAUCAAACAGGAUUAGAUACCCCAGUAGUC
This 460-nucleotide ribosomal RNA is filed under the name uncultured bacterium. RNAcentral describes it as "partial 16S ribosomal RNA". It matches the Rfam family "Bacterial small subunit ribosomal RNA", at positions 338 to 795 of the family's 1533-position model. The record is from RNAcentral.